This 501-nucleotide ribosomal RNA is filed under the name uncultured bacterium. Its description in RNAcentral is "partial 16S ribosomal RNA". It matches the Rfam family "Bacterial small subunit ribosomal RNA", at positions 30 to 523 of the family's 1533-position model. The record is from RNAcentral.
AUUGAACGCUGGCGGCAGGCUUAACACAUGCAAGUCGAGCGGGGGAAGGUAGCUUGCUACUGGACCUAGCGGCGGACGGGUGAGUAAUGCUUAGGAAUCUGCCUAUUAGUGGGGGACAACAUCUCGAAAGGGAUGCUAAUACCGCGUACGUCCUACGGGAGAAAGCAGGGGAUCUUCGGACCUUGCGCUAAUAGAUGAGCCUAAGUCGGAUUAGCUAGUUGGUGGGGUAAGGGCCUACCAAGGCGACGAUCUGUAGCGGGUCUGAGAGGAUGAUCCGCCACACUGGGACUGAAACACGGCCCAGACUCCUACGGGAGGCAGCAGUGGGGAAUAUUGGACAAUGGGGUGAACCCUGAUCCAGCCAUGCCGCGUGUGUGAAGAAGGUCUUAUGGUUGUAAAGCACUUUAAGCGAGGAGGAGGCUACUCUAGUUAAUACCUAGGGAUAGUGGACGUUACUCGCAGAAUAAGCACCGGCUAACUCUGUGCCAGCCGCCGCCGUAA